GUAGGUGAACCUGCGGAAGGAUCAUUAAAAAUACCGGCCCCCUCGCGGGGCGCCGACGGCAGCAGCUCCCGCCCUUCAUCGGGCGCGGGGCUGACCGCCUAAACCCUCUGUGAAAAACCCCAGUUGCUUCGGCAGCAUGCCUGACCCUGCCCUCACCGGCGGGUUCCGGCGGUCAGCCUGCCGACAGCACCCAAGGAAACCCUUUGCCUGAAAGGAAGCCUGAUACACCGUCUGAGCGCGAAGUCUAAUGACUAUAAAACUUUCAACAACGGAUCUCUUGGUUCCC
Molecule: unclassified non-coding RNA, 286 nt
Filed under: rhizosphere metagenome
Description: partial ribosomal RNA internal transcribed spacer region
Source: RNAcentral